UGGUCUACAGUAAAAUAAAUCGAAAUGCGAUUCUCAAAUGAACAUCGAAUCCAUUGGUACACAUAAUUUGUGGACAACCGUGCUAGUUUUCAAGUUGUAUCCACUGAAAAUUUAACUUUGAGCAGGAAACUAACAAUUAUUCAGCGACAUAGCGGCUUAGGAAUAAACUCAUCAGAGAUACCAGAAUCGAAAGUUUAUAUUGACACCAGACGCGCAUUUC
RNAcentral lists this long non-coding RNA (220 nucleotides) under Mytilus galloprovincialis (Mediterranean mussel). Lineage: Eukaryota; Metazoa; Mollusca; Bivalvia; Mytilida; Mytilidae. The record is from RNAcentral.